GAUGAACGCUGGCGGCGUGCCUAAUACAUGCAAGUCGAGCGAACGGACGAGAAGCUUGCUUCUCUGAUGUUAGCGGCGGACGGGUGAGUAACACGUGGAUAACCUACCUAUAAGACUGGGAUAACUUCGGGAAACCGGAGCUAAUACCGGCUAAUAUUUUGAACCGCAUGGUUCAAAAGUGAAAGACGGUCUUGCUGUCACUUAUAGCUGGAUCCGCGCUGCAUUAGCUAGUUGGUAAGGUAACGGCUUACCAAGGCAACGAUGCAUAGCCGACCUGAGAGGGUGAUCGGCCACACUGGAACUGAGACACGGUCCAGACUCCUACGGGAGGCAGCAGUAGGGAAUCUUCGGCAAUGGGCGAAGGCCUGACGGAGCAACGCCGCGUGAGUGAUGAAGGUCUUCGGAUCGUAAAACUCUGUUAUUAGGGAAGAACAGAUGUGUAAGUAACUGUGCACAUCUUGACGGUACCUAAUCAGAAAGCCACGGCUAACUACGUG
Molecule: ribosomal RNA, 497 nt
Filed under: uncultured bacterium
Lineage: Bacteria
Description: partial 16S ribosomal RNA
Rfam family: Bacterial small subunit ribosomal RNA
Source: RNAcentral